This 301-nucleotide ribosomal RNA is filed under the name uncultured bacterium. RNAcentral's name for it is "partial 16S ribosomal RNA". It matches the Rfam family "Bacterial small subunit ribosomal RNA", at positions 509 to 807 of the family's 1533-position model. The record is from RNAcentral.
CAGCAGCCACGGGAACACGAGGGGGGCAAGCGUUGUUCGGAAUUAUUGGGCGUAAAGGGCGCGUAGGCGGUUUGACAAGUUUGGUGUGAAAUCUAUGGGCUCAACCCAUAGCCUGCAUCGAAAACUGUCGGGCUUGAGUAUGGGAGAGGUGAGUGGAAUUUCCGGUGUAGCGGUGAAAUGCGUAGAGAUCGGAAGGAACAUCUGUGGCGAAGGCGACUAUCUGGGCCAACACUGACACUGAGGCACGAAAGCGUGGGGAGCAAACAGGAUUAGAUACCCCAGUAGUCCCUGUCUCUUAUAC